Molecule: long non-coding RNA, 397 nt
Filed under: Homo sapiens (human)
Lineage: Eukaryota; Metazoa; Chordata; Mammalia; Primates; Hominidae
Description: HSALNT0310346
Source: RNAcentral
AGGAGAGUUGGGGCCUUCCAUUCCCUCCAGUAAAUACUUGUUUUUCUUCCACCGCUGAGGCAAAUGCGGGGUGGCUGAUCACCUGGCAGACAUCUUAGGAAACAGGAGCACCGGUCUGGGAAACUGCUGGCCUGGCCUAACACCUGGCGCUGUGGUGCAGGCAAGGUAUGCAGCUCUUUCAGAUGAGAAUCUAGUGGAUCCCACCGUGUAGAGGAAAGGUCUGAACACCGCCAGGUGCUGGUGAGGAUGAAAGCGAGCAGGGGCUGGGGGAGCUUCCGACGGCUUUAUUCCUCGACUGGAGAAGAGUAUGGUAAACAGGCAGGCAGAGGCCAAGGCGGGCACAUUUCACUCCUCUGGAAGGAAGAGGCCUCCCCUGGGCCACUGUGCGCUGUCUCUG